RNAcentral lists this ribosomal RNA (481 nucleotides) under uncultured bacterium. RNAcentral describes it as "partial 16S ribosomal RNA". It matches the Rfam family "Bacterial small subunit ribosomal RNA", at positions 29 to 507 of the family's 1533-position model. The record is from RNAcentral.
ACGAACGCUGGCGGCGUGCUUAACACCUGCAAGUCGAACGCUGAAGCUCAGCUUGCUGGGUGGAUGAGUGGCGAACGGGUGAGUAACACGUGAGUAACCUGCCCUCUUCUUUGGGAUAACGCCCGGAAACGGGUGCUAAUACUGGAUAUUCACUGAUUCUCGCAUGGGGGUUGGUGGAAAGGUUUUUUCUGGUGGGGGAUGGGCUCGCGGCCUAUCAGCUUGUUGGUGGGGUGAUGGCCUACCAAGGCUUUGACGGGUAGCCGGCCUGAGAGGGUGACCGGUCACAUUGGGACUGAGAUACGGCCCAGACUCCUACGGGAGGCAGCAGUGGGGAAUAUUGCACAAUGGGCGAAAGCCUGAUGCAGCGACGCCGCGUGAGGGAUGGAGGCCUUCGGGUUGUAAACCUCUUUCGCUCAUGGUCAAGCCGCAGCUUUGGGUUGUGGUGAGGGUAGUGGGUAAAGAAGCGCCGGCUAACUACGUG